UGCAAAUGAGCCGCGCCUCCACUCACUCGCAUGAGCUUGGCGAACUUACUGAGAUAUCUGUAUCAAAGAAACAAUGCCAUUGGUUGACAGUCUGUACAAUCUCCAGCUGAUCCAGGAGUUCUGCAGGGAAAACCUCAGCAACUGCUGUCACUUCACCCUGGAGGAUAUGCUGUAUGCCUCCAGCACCAUCAAGUUCGAGGCCAGGAUGAAUGAGUGAUCACUGGAGUAUUACAGGAAAUUUCAGCAGGGCUGAUGCAGGAUGGGAAAGACUACCAGUGCGUGUUUUAAAUCUGACCGUUUGGAAUGACUGAGUCAUGGUUUGUGUGUGAGAGAACGCUGCUAUGUGGAUCGCCUCAGACAGUAAUGUUAUUGAAGCAGUUUGUCUAGAUAAACACACUCCAUGUGUAGCCGUUACCUCACACAGCCACCAUCAUAACAACAGCCAGUAAUAUUUUUUUGAGCAAAUGUGUUAAAUUUUCCAAACCGGCAGCCGUGGAUUUGCCGUUAUGUUAGAUGAGUCUGUGGUCGAUUAUGUAAACCAGGUUAAAAUGCUUUCAGCCAGUCGCAUACUCUCCAGUAAAACAAAGGUACAUCUAAUUUCUUUGAUUAUUUAGGCCUUAAAUGUUGUGAUUACACUAAAGGAGGUCUUUUUCAUGAGGCUAACAGCCCCUAACUGUGGUGAAAUAAAGGUGUCAGGACUGAAUAAAUCUGCAGAGAGUGCUGGGUCUGUUCUGUUCGUGUCAGGCUGCCCCGGUUGCUUUGUUCCUCUUGUCGGGUCAGAAAACCCUUUUAUGUUUUGAAAGAGACUCUUCUCAUGGCUGCUGUGCAGUUUCUUUCAAUAAAUGCACUAUAUUAGGAUAUACACUAAUGAAAGUGUAUUUUGCAAAGUUAUUAUAGUAUUUCAAAUGCGUAAACUUGCACUUGUUUUUCCUUCACAACAGAAUGUGUUGAUGUCAGAUGAAUACAUAAACACAUGACCCUCUAAAUGUAUACAUCAUAUUCACACAAA
Long non-coding RNA from Megalobrama amblycephala (Wuchang bream), 1009 nucleotides. RefSeq lists it as uncharacterized. The record is from RefSeq and is a predicted model, not a curated record. The transcript is spliced from 3 exons. Lineage: Eukaryota; Metazoa; Chordata; Actinopteri; Cypriniformes; Xenocyprididae.